This 395-nucleotide unclassified non-coding RNA is filed under the name soil metagenome. Its description in RNAcentral is "partial contains 5.8S ribosomal RNA, internal transcribed spacer 2, and large subunit ribosomal RNA". The stretch from base 1 to 122 matches the Rfam family "5.8S ribosomal RNA", at positions 35 to 154 of the family's 154-position model. The record is from RNAcentral.
GAUGAAGAACGUAGCGAAAUGCGAUACUUGGUGUGAAUUGCAGAAUCCCGUGAACCAUCGAGUCUUUGAACGCAAGUUGCGCCCGAAGCCAUCAGGUUGAGGGCACGUCUGCCUGGGCGUCACAUAUCGUUGCCCAAUGCCUAUUGCAGUGCAAUAGGAAUUUCUAGGGCGAAUGAUGGCUUCCCGUGAGCGUUGUUGCCUCGCGGUUGGUUGAAAAUCGAGUCCUUGGUAGGGUGUGCCAUGGUAGAUGGUGGUCGAGUUAGAACGAUACCGAUCAUGUGCAUGCUCCCCAAAAUAUGGCCUCUAUGACCCACACGCGUCUUUUGACGCUCAUGACGAGACCUCAGGUCAGGCCGGGCUACCCGCUGAAUUUAAGCAUAUCAAUAAGCGGAGGA